This 74-nucleotide transfer RNA is filed under the name Porphyromonadaceae bacterium. RNAcentral's name for it is "tRNA-Gln". It matches the Rfam family "tRNA". From Rfam's summary of the family: Transfer RNA (tRNA) molecules are approximately 80 nucleotides in length. Their secondary structure includes four short double-helical elements and three loops (D, anti-codon, and T loops). The record is from RNAcentral. Lineage: Bacteria; Pseudomonadati; Bacteroidota; Bacteroidia; Bacteroidales; Porphyromonadaceae.
UGUCUUAUGGUGUAAUGGCAGCACAACAGAUUCUGGUCCUGUUAGUCCAAGUUCGAAUCUUGGUAAGACAACUA